GGGCCUGUAGCUCAGUUGGUUAGAGCGCACCCCUGAUAAGGGUGAGGUCGACAGUUCGAGUCUGUCCAGGCCCACUA
This 77-nucleotide transfer RNA is filed under the name Planctomycetota bacterium. Its description in RNAcentral is "Planctomycetes bacterium tRNA-Ile". It matches the Rfam family "tRNA". From Rfam's summary of the family: Transfer RNA (tRNA) molecules are approximately 80 nucleotides in length. Their secondary structure includes four short double-helical elements and three loops (D, anti-codon, and T loops). The record is from RNAcentral. Lineage: Bacteria; Pseudomonadati; Planctomycetota.